GAUGAACGCUAGCUACAGGCUUAACACAUGCAAGUCGCAGGGUAACAUGAGGAAAGCUUGCUUUCCUUGAUGCCGACUGGCGCACGGGUGAGUAACGCGUAUCCAACCUUCCCAUAACUACGGGAUAACCCGUUGAAAGACGGCCUAAUACCGUAUGAUAUCGUUUGCUGACAUCAAAUAACGAUUAAAGGUUUAGCGGUUAUGGAUGGGGAUGCGUCUGAUUAGCUUGUUGGCGGGGUAACGGCCCACCAAGGCGACGAUCAGUAGGGGUUCUGAGAGGAAGGUCCCCCACAUUGGAACUGAGACACGGUCCAAACUCCUACGGGAGGCAGCAGUGAGGAAUAUUGGUCAAUGGGCGAGAGCCUGAACCAGCCAAGUAGCGUGCAGGAUGACGGCCCUAUGGGUUGUAAACUGCUUUUAUGUGGGGAUAAAGUGCGUGACGUGUCAUGCAUUGCAGGUACCACAUGAAUAAGGACCGGCUAAUUCCGUG
RNAcentral lists this ribosomal RNA (490 nucleotides) under uncultured bacterium. RNAcentral describes it as "partial 16S ribosomal RNA". It matches the Rfam family "Bacterial small subunit ribosomal RNA", at positions 28 to 507 of the family's 1533-position model. The record is from RNAcentral.